CACGUAGGCACCAAGCGUUGUCCGGAUUUAUUGGGCGUAAAGAGCUCGUAGGCGGUUCGGUUAGUCGGGUGUGAAAACUUUGGGCUCAACCCAAAGCGUGCACUCGAUACUGCCGUGACUAGAGUUCGGUAGGGGAGUGGGGAAUUCCUAGUGUAGCGGUGAAAUGCGCAGAUAUUAGGAGGAACACCGGUGGCGAAGGCGCCACUCUGGGCCGAAACUGACGCUGAGGAGCGAAAGCGUGGGGAGCGAACAGG
This 254-nucleotide ribosomal RNA is filed under the name uncultured bacterium. Its description in RNAcentral is "partial 16S ribosomal RNA". It matches the Rfam family "Bacterial small subunit ribosomal RNA", at positions 524 to 776 of the family's 1533-position model. The record is from RNAcentral.